This 252-nucleotide ribosomal RNA is filed under the name uncultured Methanomicrobiales archaeon. Its description in RNAcentral is "partial 16S ribosomal RNA". It matches the Rfam family "Archaeal small subunit ribosomal RNA", at positions 1088 to 1338 of the family's 1478-position model. Lineage: Archaea; Methanobacteriati; Methanobacteriota; Methanomicrobia; Methanomicrobiales. The record is from RNAcentral.
UGGGGACACUGUUGGGACCGCUCUGCUAAAGAGGAGGAAGGAAUGGGCAACGGUAGGUCAGCAUGCCCCGAAUUAUCUGGGCUACACGCGGGCUACAAUGGGUGGGACAAUGGGUAUCGACACCGAAAGGGUGAAGGCAAUACUCCUAAACCCAUCCGUAGUUCGGAUUGUGGGCUGCAACUCGCCCACAUGAAGCUGGAAUCUGUAGUAAUCGUGUCUCAAAAUGGCACGGUGAAUAUGUCCCUGCUCCUU